RNAcentral lists this non-coding RNA (71 nucleotides) under Candidatus Kentrum sp. TC. The record is from RNAcentral. Lineage: Bacteria; Pseudomonadati; Pseudomonadota; Gammaproteobacteria.
GAGAGCCGUGCGCGGAAAAACCGCACACACGGUUCGGAGGUAGGGUCGGGGAAACUCCUCCCUACCCCUAU